This 288-nucleotide long non-coding RNA is filed under the name Cricetulus griseus (Chinese hamster). Its description in RNAcentral is "lncRNA (ENSCGRG00000024222.1)". The record is from RNAcentral. Lineage: Eukaryota; Metazoa; Chordata; Mammalia; Rodentia; Cricetidae.
GAAAACAGCAAUUCAUCAUCGUGGAAGAAAAAGACCAUGAGGAGGUGAAGGACAUCAAAAACCAAGAUGAUGAUCAGGAUGAAAGGGCAAGUGUGAGGGCCCUCUGGAGCCAGGAAGGGGUAAUAGGUAGGUACUGGCCUUCACAGUAGAUAAGGUGGACAGAGUGCAGGAGGAAUUUUGUGUCUCCUCCUCCUAGAGAGUCAAAGGAGGUGGGAAAGUAAAUUGCAUGGAUUCCAUGGUUGGGGUAGAAUAAUGGUGAGACUCUAUGACCAAAGGGACAACAAAUCC